GAAGGAGAGUGGGCAGCAGCCCAGUAGGGCAGCACCCCCCUGCUCGUCUGAGCGCCUUAGGCCCUGGAAGCGGAGUUCCCAGCUGGCUGCCAUGGCAACGGCAGGCUUGGGAAACUAUUCAUCACGGCCUGGACAGCUUCCCCGCUUGCACUUGCGCUUUCACCUCCCUAAGUGGCUAAUUGAGGGACCUUGCCUGUGGGCUCCAUCUCCUUGCCAAGCCUCGUCCCAGGAGGACACCCUGCUGGUUAUGUCCCAGAGGAAAUCAAGCUGCUCCAGACCUCAGUACCUGCUUUGCAGACCCACCUGCCAUGUCUUCUCCUGCCGGGACCUCACCUUUGUACCUGGAUAUGUCAACCUAGUUCCUGCAUCUCUGUCACCCAAUGCAAGGAGUCGAAGAUGUGACAUACCAGCAGUGUUGGUGCCAGCAAACGAUGGUGCCAGAGCUGGAGGGUAUGUGGCAUUGGAGCUGGCCUUCCUCCCCUCCUGAGGGCCCUGGGCUUCCUGUUGUCCCUGCGCUCCUGAAUCUUCCUCAGAACUCGCUCAGAGGCCUCUCGGGGGCAGGUGCUGCCGGCUGCCUCCUUUCCCCCUUUAGUCCCGGCACCUAAGCACGCCACACCUGCUCCACAAAUAAUAACUUCUCUAGAGCUCUUUAUAGUUUACGAAGGGUUUGCACUUACAGUUUCUCAUUUAAUCCUCUCAACCAUCCUGUGGGAUAGGGUUAUUAUUGCUCCUUCUUUACACAUAAGAACCUGAAGC
Microcebus murinus (gray mouse lemur) is the source of this 756-nucleotide non-coding RNA. The record is from RefSeq and is a predicted model, not a curated record. Lineage: Eukaryota; Metazoa; Chordata; Mammalia; Primates; Cheirogaleidae.